AGCAAGCAGCAGAUCUCAGAAGCUUUGGCAAUGUGGCUCUGUCUUUAAAGUCAAGAGGCUAAGGUCAUAAAAUGCUGAUUCGUGGGAUAAUCGAAAGGAAACCUGGUCUAGGUGCCUACGGGAAGUUCAUCUAACCUGUGAAAGAUGUGGCCUCUUAACAAACACAUGUCUGGGUUGCUACUUGGUCCCAGCGUACAACAUGGUAGGAAGUGGAAGUGGAUAGCCUGUUACCACAGAGAUGAAGGGAAGAUAGCAACGAGAAUUUGAGAUGGCCAUCUACCCUGUACCAGAUUCAUAUCCAUAUGCUGAGGUUCCCAUCCUGAUCCCAGAGCUCCACCACUUCAGGAGACAAAAGGGAGACUUACAUAAAGUCUCUUCUUCCAUCUCCUGUUUAUCCCAGAUCUACACUCCCUUCACCUCCCCUUAGAAAAGAGCAGGCCUCCCAGGGACAUCAAUCAACUACAUCAUAACAAGCUACAAGAAGACAGACAUAUAUUCUCACAUCAAAGCUGCACAAGGAAACACAGUACCUCUCUAGGUCUGCAGAUUGUAGCACGAUUGUCUUUACCUACAGCCAAUAUCCAUUGACAAAGGACAGACAGUGUUUGAUAGACCUUGGCCCCCACUUGAACCCUGCAGUCUGCUCUUCCUUGGAAAGAAUCCCAUUUCAGACAGACACUUCUGGCAGAAGGUGCUGACAGACGUGGGAUGAGGCCGGAACUCGUGUCCUGUGACAAUCACCAGCUUUCUGAGGCCUACUCAUGUGUCUGUGCAGAAUGGCCACUUCUGGAUUCUGUUUUCAAUAAACAACAGUGAUCCCAAAUGUA
This is a long non-coding RNA of Mus musculus (house mouse), 827 nucleotides long. RefSeq annotates it as RIKEN cDNA 1700112M02 gene. NCBI's taxonomy places the organism in Eukaryota, Metazoa, Chordata, Mammalia, Rodentia, Muridae. The record is from RefSeq and is a predicted model, not a curated record. The transcript is spliced from 7 exons.